RNAcentral lists this ribosomal RNA (1221 nucleotides) under Micavibrio sp. Its description in RNAcentral is "partial 23S ribosomal RNA". It matches the Rfam family "Bacterial large subunit ribosomal RNA", at positions 1 to 1245 of the family's 2925-position model. Lineage: Bacteria; Pseudomonadati; Bdellovibrionota; Bdellovibrionia; Bdellovibrionales; Pseudobdellovibrionaceae. The record is from RNAcentral.
AAGAAAGUUACUAAGGGUGUAUGGCGGAUGCCUUGGCUCUGAGAGGCGAUGAAGGACGUGACAAGCUGCGAUAAGCUACGAUUAGGUGCAAAUAACCUGUUAGUCGUAGAUUUCCGAAUGGGGCAACCCAGCAUACUGAAGGUAUGUUACCCGAAAGGGGGCAAACCCGGCGAACUGAAACAUCUAAGUAGCCGGAGGAAGAGAAAAUAAUAAUGAUUCUCCUAGUAGUGGCGAGCGAACGGGGAAUAGCCCAAACCAAUAUUGUUUCGGCAAUAUUGGGGUUGUAGGACUGCAAUGUGGACUUAAGAUUUAUAGUAGAACCAUCUGGAAAGUUGGACCAUAGAGAGUGAUAGUCUCGUAAACGAAAUAAAUUUUAUACCUAGCAGGAUCCUGAGUAGCACGAAACAGGUGAAAUUUUGUGUGAAUCUGCCGGAACCAUCCGGUAAGGCUAAAUACUCCUCAGAGACCGAUAGUGAACUAGUACCGUGAGGGAAAGGUGAAAAGUACUCCGAACAGGAGAGUGAAAUAGUACCUGAAACCAUACACUUACAAGCUGUAGGAGCCCUUCGGGGUGACUGCGUGCCUUUUGCAUAAUGAGCCUACGAGUUACUCCUCACUAGCAAGGUUAAGGAUUUAAGAUCCGGAGCCGAAGCGAAAGCAAGUCUGAAUAGGGCGUAUAGUUAGUGGGGGUAGACGCGAAACCGUGUGAUCUACCCUUGGCCAGGUUGAAGCUUUGGUAACACAGAGUGGAGGACCGAACCAGUUGACGUUGAAAAGUCUUUGGAUGAGCUGAGGGUAGGGGUGAAAGGCCAAUCAAACUCGGAAAUAGCUCGUACUCCCCGAAAUGUAUUUAGGUACAGCCUUGAGUUAAAGUGAUAUAGAGGUAGAGCUACUGAUUGGGCUAGGGGGCUUCACCGCCUACCAAUUCCUGACAAACUCCGAAUGCUAUAUCAUGUUCCUCAGGAGUGAGGGCGCGGGUGCUAAGGUCCGUGUCCGAGAGGGAAACAACCCAGACCAUCAGCUAAGGUCCCUAAAUGUAUGUUAAGUUGUUCAAACGUGGUCCGACUGCUUAGACAGCUAGGAUGUUGGCUUGGAAGCAGCCAUUCAUUUAAAGAGUGCGUAACAGCUCACUAGUCGAGCGGUUGGGCGUGGAUAAUAAUCGGGCAUAAAACAUACUACCGAAGCUAUAAGAUCGAAAGAUCGGUAGGGGAGCAUUCUAGU